AGAGAAGAGGAUUAUGGGACACUGGCGGACUGAAUUCGGCUACCUUAAUUGUCUCUCCUCUUCUUGUUUUCCCAGGGCCCCAGACCGGAAAUGGAUUCUGUUUGAAGAUUCGGAUGCAUUCGCACAGCCUCUUUUAUUUGUUUUUCCUUAGGGCCGAGCUUUGAUUGUUUUCCUUACACAACCGGGAAUAUUGGAGUAACACUGUAUUUUUCUCUUUUCCUGGAGUUGCCAGAUGAAAUACAGGAUGCCUACCUAAGACAGAGUCUCGCUCUUGUCACUCAGGCUGGAGUGCAGUGUUGCAAUCACAGCUUACUGCAGCCUCAAGCUCCUGGACAAGGGAUCCUCCCGCUUCAGCCUCCCAAGUAGCUGGGACUAAGGCAACAUUCACAUAUCCUGGACUGUGACACAUCAGCAUUUGUUUCCCUUAGCCAGCCCAAACAAGUACAAAUUGCAGACUACUUGGACUUCUUUUAUGGCACCUGUUUCAAAAUUCCUUAUAUCAUAAUUAUUUGUGUUUAUGACUGUGAACUUCAAUAAACUGCAAGUUUCUUGAAGACAGAAAUAGUGUUGUAUUGACUGCUGUAUUCCUGGAGGUAUCAUAGUGCCUGGAACAUUGAGGAUGCUCAAGGAAAGUGGAAAGUGGAAUCUCUGUUGCCCAUCUUCAGGAUCUACCACCAGAAAAUAUACCAUAUCGUUGACUUUGUUUAUAAGUGGAAAGUCAUAACCAGAGCACUCUAUGAAUAUUGUAUUAAAGAAGGCUAUGCAGGAAAAAACCUAAUCACAAUAUGGAAAAAGCAAGGCUAUGAGAACUUGUGCUGGCUGCUGUGCCUUCAGACAUGGAACACCAAUUUUGGGACAAACUGCAAUUGCUGUGUUCCUAAAACAAAGAUAGAAGUGGGCUGCAUCAUUGAGUGCAUGCACUGUGGCUGCCAGGGCUGCUCUAGCUGAGGUCCUUGGGCCCUGACCCCUCUCCACCCUGGACUCUGGACUUUGCACGUUCCUGCCUGUUGUCGUCCCAUUUCCUGGGAACAACUCUUCUCCUAGAGCAAUGCCCUAGGCCUUAGUUGGAGCAUGGUCUCUAUAGGUGAAGGCUUUGCUCUCCAUCAGCUGUGAUUUGUAAAAAUAAAAACUUUAAACCUCUUGGGGGGAAAACAACUGUUAAAAGAAGUUCUUCAGAAAAAUGAAAAUUAUAGGUUAGGCACUUGGAUUCACAUAACAAAAGGAAGACCAUGGGAAAAUCAAUAAGUGAAGGUAAAAUUAAAACUUUUAUUUUCUUACACUUAAUCUAACAGUUAAGUUUGCUAAAAAUAAUAUCAAUAUGUUCAUAUAUAUGUUUAAAUAUAUAUGUUUAUAUAUAAGUGAAAUGAAUGACAGCAAUUAUAGAAGGGAAGGGAGGGAGAUACUAAGAUUCUUUUAUUAUUAUAAGGAACUCACACUAUCCAUGAAGUGGUACAGUGUUACUUGACAGUGAACUUGUGCCCGGCGUGCUGGCUCAUGCCUGUAAUUCUAGCACUUUGGGAGUCUAAGGCAAGAGGAUCCCUUUAGCCCAGGAUUUGGAGACACAGCCUGGACAGCAUAGAGGGACCCUGUCUCUAUUUUAAAAAAGAAAAGAAAAUGAACUUGGAUUA
RNAcentral lists this long non-coding RNA (1628 nucleotides) under Homo sapiens (human). RNAcentral's name for it is "HSALNT0408098". The record is from RNAcentral. Lineage: Eukaryota; Metazoa; Chordata; Mammalia; Primates; Hominidae.